UACGAAGGGGGCUAGCGUUGCUCGGAAUCACUGGGCGUAAAGCGCACGUAGGCGGAUCGUUAAGUCGGGGGUGAAAUCCUGGAGCUCAACUCCAGAACUGCCUCCGAUACUGGCGAUCUUGGAGUCCGGGAGAGGUGAGUGGAACUCCGAGUGUAGAGGUGAAAUUCGUAGAUAUUCGGAAGAACACCAGUGGCGAAGGCGCCACUCUGGGCCGUAACUGACGCUGAGGAGCGAAAGCGUGGGUAGCAAACAGG
This 254-nucleotide ribosomal RNA is filed under the name uncultured bacterium. Its description in RNAcentral is "partial 16S ribosomal RNA". It matches the Rfam family "Bacterial small subunit ribosomal RNA", at positions 524 to 776 of the family's 1533-position model. The record is from RNAcentral.